AAACAUAAAGGUUUGGUCCUGGCCUUAUAAUUAAUUGAAGGUAGAAUUACACAUACAAAACUCCAUGCGCCAGUGUCAAAUCCCUAGAAUUUAAUUUUAAGCUCUAAGGAGAGGGUAUCAAGCACAUUAUUAUAGCUAAAGACACCUUGCCUAGCCACGCCCCCACGGGACACAGCAGUGAUAAAAAUUAAGCAAUAAACGAAAGUUUGACUUAGUAAUACCUUACAUAGGGUUGGUAAAUUUCGUGCCAGCCACCGCGGUCAUACGAUUAAACCAACCUAAUGAUCUUUGGCAUAAAACGUGUUAUAAACUUAAAUCAAUAGAAUUAAAACCCAACUAAUAUGUGAAAAUUCAUAGUUGGCAUUAAACUCAAUUACGAAAGUAAUUCUAAUCGUAUCAAUACACGACAGCUAAGACUGAAACUGGGAUUAGAUACCCCACUAUGCUUAGCAUUAAACAUGAGGAGUUAAAUAAAAAAAAAAAAAACCCUUGCCUGAGAACUACUAGCCUCAGCUUAAAACUCAAAGGACAUGGCGGUACUUUAUAUCCAUCUAGAGGAGCCUGUUCUAUAAUCGAUAAACCCCGUU
RNAcentral lists this non-coding RNA (587 nucleotides) under Cricetulus griseus (Chinese hamster). RNAcentral's name for it is "Bacterial small subunit ribosomal RNA". It matches the Rfam family "Bacterial small subunit ribosomal RNA", at positions 8 to 965 of the family's 1533-position model. Lineage: Eukaryota; Metazoa; Chordata; Mammalia; Rodentia; Cricetidae. The record is from Rfam by way of RNAcentral.